AGUGAACGCUGGCGGUAGGCCUAACACAUGCAAGUCGAACGGCAGCACAGUAAGAGCUUGCUCUUACGGGUGGCGAGUGGCGGACGGGUGAGGAAUACAUCGGAAUCUACUUUUUCGUGGGGGAUAACGUAGGGAAACUUACGCUAAUACCGCAUACGACCUACGGGUGAAAGCAGGGGAUCUUCGGACCUUGCGCGAUUGAAUGAGCCGAUGUCGGAUUAGCUAGUUGGCGGGGUAAAGGCUCACCAAGGCGACGAUCCGUAGCUGGUCUGAGAGGAUGAUCAGCCACACUGGAACUGAGACACGGUCCAGACUCCUACGGGAGGCAGCAGUGGGGAAUAUUGGACAAUGGGCGCAAGCCUGAUCCAGCCAUACCGCGUGGGUGAAGAAGGCCUUCGGGUUGUAAAGCCCUUUUGUUGGGAAAGAAAAGCAGCAGGUUAAUACCCCGCUGUUCUGACGGUACCCAAAGAAUAAGCACCGGCGAACUUCGU
RNAcentral lists this ribosomal RNA (491 nucleotides) under uncultured bacterium. RNAcentral describes it as "partial 16S ribosomal RNA". It matches the Rfam family "Bacterial small subunit ribosomal RNA", at positions 29 to 506 of the family's 1533-position model. The record is from RNAcentral.